GUGUCAGCAGCCGCGGUAAUACGUAGGCAGCAAGCGUUGUUCGGAGUUACUGGGCGUAAAGGGUGUGUAGGCGGUUCUUCAAGUUUGGUGUGAAAUCUCCCGGCUCAACUGGGAGGGUGCGCCGAAUACUGAGGGACUAGAGUGCGGGAGAGGAAAGUGGAAUUCCUGGUGUAGCGGUGAAAUGCGUAGAUAUCAGGAGGAACACCGGUGGUGUAGACGGCUUUCUGGACCGUAACUGACGCUGAGACACGAAAGCGUGGGUAGCAAACAGGAUUAGAUACCCUGGUAGUCCACGCCCUAAACGAUGCAUAUUUGGUGUGGGUCAUUCAGUUGAUCCGUGCCGGAGCUAACGCGUUAAAUAUGCCGCCUGGGGAGUACAGUCGCAAGGCUGAA
RNAcentral lists this ribosomal RNA (393 nucleotides) under uncultured bacterium. Its description in RNAcentral is "bacterial SSU rRNA". It matches the Rfam family "Bacterial small subunit ribosomal RNA", at positions 505 to 898 of the family's 1533-position model. The record is from RNAcentral.